This 721-nucleotide ribosomal RNA is filed under the name uncultured fungus. RNAcentral describes it as "SSU rRNA". It matches the Rfam family "Eukaryotic small subunit ribosomal RNA", at positions 856 to 1598 of the family's 1831-position model. Lineage: Eukaryota; Fungi. The record is from RNAcentral.
GACGCCGUAAUGAUUAAUAGGGAUAGUCGGGGGCAUCAGUAUUCAAUUGUCAGAGGUGAAAUUCUUGGAUUUAUUGAAGACUAACUACUGCGAAAGCAUUUGCCANGGAUGUUUUCAUUAAUCAGUGAACGAAAGUUAGGGGAUCGAAGACGAUCAGAUACCGUCGUAGUCUUAACCAUAAACUAUGCCGACUAGGGAUCGGGCGAUGUUAUCUUNNUGACUCGCUCGGCACCUCACGAGAAAUCAAAGUNUUUGGGUUUUGGGGGGAGUAUAGUCGCAAGGCUGAAACUUAAAGAAAUUGACGGAAGGGCACCACCAGGAGUGGAGCCUGCGGCUUAAUUUGACUCANCACGGGGAAACUCACCAGGUCCAGACACAAUAAGGAUUGACAGAUUGAGAGCUCUUUCUUGAUCUUGUGGGUGGUGGUGCAUGGCCGUUCUUAGUUGGUGGAGUGAUUUGUCUGCUUAAUNGCGAUAACGAACGAGACCUUAACCUGCUAAAUAGCCCGGCUAGCUUUGGCUGGUCGCUGGCUUCUUANAGGGACUAUCGGCUCAAGCCGAUGGAAGUUUGAGGCAAUAACAGGUCUGUGAUGCCCUUAGAUGUUCUGGGCCGCANGCGCGCUACACUGACAGAGCCANCGAGUUCAUCACCUUGGCCGAAAGGCCUGGGUAAUCUUGUUCAACUCUGUCGUGCUGGGGAUAGAGCAUUGCANUAAUCGAAU